AGUCGUUACUCAGUGGUUAAGAUGUUGGAUUGCUGAUCGGAAGGUCAUGAGUUCAAAUCCCAGCAGUGGCUG
This is a non-coding RNA of Ameiurus melas (black bullhead), 72 nucleotides long. The record is from the annotation of a GenBank genome assembly. NCBI's taxonomy places the organism in Eukaryota, Metazoa, Chordata, Actinopteri, Siluriformes, Ictaluridae.